This is a small nucleolar RNA of Lemur catta (Ring-tailed lemur), 104 nucleotides long. RefSeq annotates it as small nucleolar RNA U13. The record is from RefSeq and is a predicted model, not a curated record. NCBI's taxonomy places the organism in Eukaryota, Metazoa, Chordata, Mammalia, Primates, Lemuridae. The transcript has a single exon.
AUCCUUUCAUGGUUCUUAAGUGUGAUGAAUGCAUUUUCAUGCUCAUGUGUGAGAUAUGCCUCUCUGGAACCUUGUUACCAUGCGGGCACAUUACCUGUCUGACA